This is a non-coding RNA of Pelobates cultripes (western spadefoot toad), 334 nucleotides long. Lineage: Eukaryota; Metazoa; Chordata; Amphibia; Anura; Pelobatidae. The record is from the annotation of a GenBank genome assembly.
GUUGAUAGCCUCCUAGCAAAAGGGGCUCUUAUCAAAUGUGUAUCACAAUGUAACACCCCUGUGUUCCCUGUCAAGAAGAAAACUGAAAAGGGCCAACCAGACCAAUACCGAAUGGUUCAGGACCUGUGUGCCGUUAAUGAUGUCACUGUCAAAGACAUCGUUGUUGUCCCCAAUCCGCACACCUUGUUGUCCCAGGUUCCAUCCACAGCCAAGUUCUUCACUGUGGCCGACCUCGCCAAUGCCUUUUUCAGUGUGCCCCUGUAUCCGUCCUGCCAGCAUCUCUUUGCCUUCACUCAUGACUGCCAACAGUAUACAUGGACAGUCAUGCCUCAGG